UGAGGAAUAUUGGUCAAUGGGCGGCAGCCUGAACCAGCCAUCCCGCGUGAAGGAAGAAUGCGCUAUUCGUUGUAAACUUCUUUUUCAGGGGGAUAAAAUUCUGUAUGUAUACAGGACUGAAGGUACCCUGAGAAUAAGCAUCGGCUAACUCCGUGCCAGCAGCCGCGGUAAUACAGAGGAUGCGAGCGUUAUCCGGAUUUAUUGGGUUUAAAGGGUGCGUAGGCGGAAUAAUAAGUCAGUGGUGAAACCCUGCAGCUUAACUGUAGACUUGCCAUUAAUACUGUUUAUCUUGAGUAUGGUCAAGGCAGGCGGAAUGUGUGAUGUAGCGGUGAAAUGCUUAGAUAUUACAGAGAACACCGGUAGCGAAGGCAGCUUGCAGGGCCGUUACUGACGCUGAUGCACGAAAGCGUGGGGAU
This 416-nucleotide ribosomal RNA is filed under the name uncultured bacterium. RNAcentral's name for it is "bacterial SSU rRNA". It matches the Rfam family "Bacterial small subunit ribosomal RNA", at positions 355 to 768 of the family's 1533-position model. The record is from RNAcentral.